This 480-nucleotide ribosomal RNA is filed under the name uncultured bacterium. RNAcentral's name for it is "partial 16S ribosomal RNA". It matches the Rfam family "Bacterial small subunit ribosomal RNA", at positions 28 to 506 of the family's 1533-position model. The record is from RNAcentral.
GAUGAACGCUGGCGGCGUGCUUAACACAUGCCAGUCGAACGAAGCACUUUAUUUGAUUUCCUUCGGGACUGAUUAUUUUGUGACUGAGUGGCGGACGGGUGAGUAACGCGUGGGUAACCUGCCUUGUACAGGGGGAUAACAGUUGGAAACGGCUGCUAAUACCGCAUAAGCGCACAGCAUCGCAUGAUGCAGUGUGAAAAACUCCGGUGGUAUAAGAUGGACCCGCGUUGGAUUAGCUAGUUGGUGAGGUAACGGCCCACCAAGGCGACGAUCCAUAGCCGACCUGAGAGGGUGACCGGCCACAUUGGGACUGAGACACGGCCCAAACUCCUACGGGAGGCAGCAGUGGGGAAUAUUGCACAAUGGGCGAAAGCCUGAUGCAGCGACGCCGCGUGAGCGAAGAAGUAUUUCGGUAUGUAAAGCUCUAUCAGCAGGGAAGAUAAUGACGGGACCUGACUAAGAAGCACCGGCUAAAUACGU